CGCAAUGUCUCUAUCAAAACGAUGAUUUUUUGGUGUGACUUCCUGUAACACAUGAGUCUGUAACUCUUCAACUUUUGCUGAGCUCAGUUCUUAUCAUUAGUUAAUACAUCGACAUUACAUAAUAACACAUGAAAGUCUUUUUUACUUGACCCAGAUGUACGUAUUUUAUUUUGGAUUAUGGUUGUGGUUCCUCUUUUUCCCUCCUCCACCUCUUUACCUUCAGUAUAUAACAGUUCCAGGGACAUAUUUCUACAUGGUACUUUCCCGUUAUCUCGGUGUUUUUCUUUCCAGCAUUUGCUCUGAGUUCCUUCUCUCUUUUCCUUUCCUCAAUGGUCAUAUCAUGAAACACAUCAACCUUCCUAAAUAUUUCACUUUGGCAUCUUUUAGCCUGAACAAGUUUCUCUGUUCUUUCAAGGAUCCUCUCAGAGUCACCACUAUGGUAGGCUACUCUGUUCUGUUUCUCCCUUGUAUCUUCCAAUUCGUCUUGUCUCCUCAAUAUUACUGUUGAAACAUGUCAAGCCCAUUUCACUGCAUACUUCUAUGAAAAUCAGCUUGUCAUGCUCAAUUUUUUCAGACCUAAUUGGCAAGUUCAUGCCCUCUUUCACCUUCUCUGGGAUACUACCAUACAAGGCAAUGUUGUUUUUCCUGUCUAAUCUAUUUUGUACUUGACUGGUAGUUUUAUCCAACAGUUCUUUAUGAGCAUUGAGGAGCCCAAAAGUACUUCUGUACUAGACCCACUGCAAACCUUUGGUGCCUCUCCCUCAUCCCUGUAGGCCAAACCUUCCUUCACCUCUGCACUCAGCUUGUUCCUCGUGUCCACUGUUAUGUCAACUAUUUUGCUUUCCAUUGCAUCAUUAUUAAUCACACUCUUGACUUCCUCCCCAACUUUCUGCUUGACUUCAUUAAUCCUAGAUUUUAACUCACUGUUCACAGUUAGACAAUGGGAUAACUAGUGACAUAGGUAAAUUUGCAGAUGACACCAAAAUAGGACACACUAUUAGGGUGGGGAGGAUGCUAGAGGAGGAUCUCAACAAACUGUCAGCUUGGUCAGAGAAAUGGCAGAUGAAUUUUAACAUCACCAAGUGUAGCGUACCUGGUGUAGGAACCCGCAACCCAUUACACGGGUAUAGUUUAGACUCCACAGCGAUAGGCAGGUCUGAGUGUGAAAGGGACCUGGGAGUGUUAGUGAACUCUGACCAACAACUAAGGAAGCAAUGUAUUAGUGCGAGGAAUAGGGCUAACAGGGUAUUAGGCUUUAUUAUUAAGAGGACGGUAACCAGCAGGAGUGCAGAGGUCAUCCUCAGACUCUGUUUAGCGUCAGUCAGGCCACACUCAAGUACUGUUUAUUUUGACUACCGCUGCCGCACUGGGAAAGAAAAAAAUGCGGGUGAUUUUGACAUGCGGCAGCUUGGGGUCGCCCGCAGGGUCCUCCGCCCCAAGGGAAUGACCAGGACAUGCGCCUCCCCCCGCCAGGCAUGGGGGGGGGAGGUGGUGGAGGUGGAGCGCCGUCACACCAUGAUAACAGGUUUCCCCGUGACCCACGUGCCGAUUUCGUUGACCAGCGGGGCAUACAGUGCUUCUGAGAGCCCCCGCCCCAGCCCCGAGACCUGCGGGGUGAUCCACUGGACUUGAGGUCCUGGUGGCACCCGACCCGAGCUACUGGUACUGCCGUUGGCUGGCGGAUGAGAUCUUCCUGACGGAUGUGACGGCCAACUUCCUGACUGUGAGGAUCGGGGAGUGCAAGAAGCGGCCGGAGGUUUUCAAGGACACGACCGACCCAAACCAGAAUUCCCAGUGUUUGAUUGUGUGAUGUGUUGUGAUUGUGAAUAUGUCUUGACUUUGCUGGUGAAGGUUUCCAUGGUGAACAGGAUCAUACUGAAAAGAUAUUAGCCGGGGGUCUUCAAGGACACGACCGACCCAAACCAGAAAUCCUAGUACUCAAUUAUGUGGUUAUUGUGAAUAUGUCUUGACUUUGCUGGUGAAGGUUUCCAUGGUGAACAGGAUCAUACUGAAAAGAUAUUUGCACGGAAAGAUAUUGUUGUGCUGUGUUCGUGGGAGUCCCGUAAACAAACAUGUGGGUACAGCUAUUACUGGACGCAAAAUGUUAUUGUAAAGCCUGCUGGAUACAUUUGACGAGCAUAGAAAACCACCUAAAAAUUAUAAGUUAAAACUCUGUCAUCACUUGCAGAAUUGGAAGUCCAAACAAUCUAAACUGAUACUUCAAAGGGAGCCCACAGCCUUGGGAUUACUUUAGGCAUUUGGGUUUGAGUCUUGGUGCAAAGCCAGAUUUUUAAGAAAUUUAUUUAUAAAAUUGUACGGGCCGUGAACACCUCGUGUCUGACCCCCUGCUGCUCACAAGCCGUACACCAAUUAGCCCAGUAGCAGCGACGGGACAAAUUUGUGGCUUAACCGUGGAGCAGCGACGAGCCAAACUUGUGCCAUGAUUUAAACCCAAAAAAAUAGAUGAUACAUAAACUGAUCACAAAUGUUUUGAUAUAUAUUAUGAAAUGGUUUGUGUGAGGGGUGAUUUUUUCUCAUUUUUCUCGCUUAGAGGGACCAUUAAGAAAUAUGAUCCCCGCUGCUACCGGGUUAAAAAAAAAAAACAUCCUAUGGAGAAAAAAUAUUCUCUGGGGAAGCUCAAGAGAUAGAUGAAGGCCAUUUCCUGAGGAGUAUUAUGCACUCUUUGUUAUGCUUGUUAGGGCAAACACAGAUUUUUAAUUAGUAUUUUCCCACCAGUAGUACUAUGGGUCGUCCACCUCACCCUACAAUGGAAACAAUAUAACAUUUGAAAAAUCAUGCUAUUCCGCCUUCUGUAUAAAAAGAGAUGUUAUAUGUUUUUUCCUGUUUUAGUCAUGGAAUUUACUAUUAAGCAGAAUAUUGUUGUACACUUGGGCACAUACACAGGAGGAGGCUUUUCAAACAGGCAAAUGUUGGUGCCCAGAUGUUUAAAAAUGCUGCUUGGAAGUCUGAAGAGUGACUGGAAUCUGCGACGUCUUUGCUGAUGGGGGCUUCGUGGUGCAGUGGUUAGCACACUCAGCUCACAACCGAGAGAGCACGGGGUCGAUUCCCAGGCGGAGUGGAAAAAUUUGGGCGGCUUUUCUGAUACCCUACGCCCCUGUCCACCCAGCAGUGAAUGGGUACCAGGUAUUAAUCGGGGGUUGUGUCCCGUCUCCUGGGGUCUGUUCUCUUCUCCUAUAAUUCCUUCCCCUUCUGUCUCUCUCCGGCACAUGACCACAGAUGUUGCGCCCACUAAACAAAACUUUCCAACUUUUUCUCUGGUGAUUCUCUGUACAGGCAGUGGUUCGGAAGGUGUACUAGACUGCCUCCAGCUGACUGUUUGAGGCUCUACCAUGUCUUCCGGUCAUGGUUUUAGGGUUUCCGCCGUCCAUAAGCUUAAGAAAUCUUGUGUACUGUAUUUCCAAGCUUCUGAAAAUGGACCCAAAAUAUAAUACUGAGUGCCUCUCUAAUGUUUAUCUCUAUGUAUAGGGAAGGGAGUUGUAUCAUAGCCUGUUAAGAAUAUUAAGGUGUCUAUUGUGUAUUUCCAGGCCUCUGAAAAUGGACCCAAAAUGUCAGAAUGAGUGCAUGUUGUACCUCUAAUGUUUAUCGCUAUGUAUAGGGAAGGGAGUUGUACUCACAGAGUUAUAUACAUAGAGGGUUCCCAGAGCCUGGAUUUUGAAGCAACUGGCGGCCAUCUUAGGGUGACGAAUGGCAAGACAGAGAGAAAUUUACUUUCCCAUAGUUAUGUCUGCUGUUAUCAGGUCAGCAGUGCCUCAGCGACCCUCUGUCAGAUAGACCUGUUAUUUUCUUGCCCAUUUUCUACCCACUGAUUAUUGUUACAUUGGUACAUGUCAUAUACCAUCUGCAUCGGAAAAACAUGCUCAAUUUGAAACUGUAAACGAAAAUCUAAUACAAUAAAAAGUUCCUGAAUGACAAGUAAUUGAGGCAAAAAAGAUGAACAAAAAUGUUUAUACACUACCAUCAUGAUAUGCAGCAAGGUCUCAUGAACACGAUGAUCGGCUCAGUUUUCCAAAAUAUCAUAAUGGUGGCUAGCUAAUAGUGGUUGAGUGUAUACAUGUGGAAUCGUGGAAAGGUCGCCAAUCCGUCACUCUAUGGCGGCCGACCACAGGCAGGAGCAGUGGCUUCACCUCUCACCGUGGCGAGAGAUUGGAGUUGAACCCUCUAGUCUAUACCUCUAGUCUAUAACUCUGUGGUUGUACCAUAUCCUGUUAAGAGUAUUAAGGAGUCUGUUGUGUAUUUCCAGGCCUUGGGAACUGUGACAAUGGACUGAAAACAACAUUGGAAUUAGUGCAAGAUAUACCCCUGAUGUCCUGUUCCUGUUCUUCCCUUGUAUAGAGAGAGAGGAGAGAAAGAACAGACAUAGUUAGUGAUGUGCUGGAGCCUUUGUUGUUUGUUUGUUUCUUAUGCCUGUCUAGUGAAAAAUAAUAAAAAUAAUAAUAAGAGGAAGAGAUGAUGUUAUGAGCUAUUGUGUUCUUAAGGGCUAAUUAAACUUUGCUGGUAUUGGAA
This is a long non-coding RNA of Eriocheir sinensis (Chinese mitten crab), 4524 nucleotides long. RefSeq lists it as uncharacterized. The record is from RefSeq and is a predicted model, not a curated record. Lineage: Eukaryota; Metazoa; Arthropoda; Malacostraca; Decapoda; Varunidae. The transcript is spliced from 4 exons.